AGUUGGUGGAGCGAUUUGUCUGGUUAAUUCCGAUAACGAACGAGACUCUAGCCUGCCAAAUAGUUAGCGGAUACCGAUUCGUCCGCUUUAACUUCUUAGAGGGACAAGUGGCGUUCAGCCACACGAGAUUGAGCAAUAACAGGU
RNAcentral lists this ribosomal RNA (144 nucleotides) under Metazoa environmental sample. RNAcentral describes it as "partial small subunit ribosomal RNA". It matches the Rfam family "Eukaryotic small subunit ribosomal RNA", at positions 1296 to 1461 of the family's 1831-position model. Lineage: Eukaryota; Metazoa. The record is from RNAcentral.